UUCGCAAUGCCCGAAAGGGUGACGAAGCGACGCCGCGUGGGUGAGGAAGGCCUUCGGGUUGUAAAACCCUGUCAGGAGUUAUGAAAUGUAAGUUCGUUAAUACCGUACUUAUUUGACAAAGGCUCCAAAGGAAGCCACGGCUAGCUCUGUGCCAGCAGCCGCGGUAAUACAGAGGUGGCGAGCGUUGUUCGGAAUUAUUGGCCGUAAAGAGCACGUAGGUGGGUUUGCAAGUCAGAUGUGAAAGCCUUCUGUUCAACGGAAGAAUUGCAUCUGAAACUGCUAAUCUUGAGUAUAGGAGGGGAGAAUGGAACUUCUGGUGGAGCGGUGAAAUGCGUAGAUAUCAGAAGGAACGCCGGCGGCGAAAGCGAUUCUCUGGCCUAUUACUGACACUCAGUGUGCGAAAGCUAGGGGAGCAAACGGGAUUAGAUACCCCGGUAGUCCUAGCCGUAAACGAUGGGCACUAAGUAGAGGGGUUUU
RNAcentral lists this ribosomal RNA (477 nucleotides) under uncultured anaerobic ammonium-oxidizing bacterium. RNAcentral's name for it is "bacterial SSU rRNA". It matches the Rfam family "Bacterial small subunit ribosomal RNA", at positions 365 to 832 of the family's 1533-position model. The record is from RNAcentral.